This 497-nucleotide ribosomal RNA is filed under the name Lactobacillus gasseri. RNAcentral's name for it is "bacterial SSU rRNA". It matches the Rfam family "Bacterial small subunit ribosomal RNA", at positions 28 to 487 of the family's 1533-position model. Lineage: Bacteria; Bacillati; Bacillota; Bacilli; Lactobacillales; Lactobacillaceae. The record is from RNAcentral.
GACGAACGCUGGCGGCGUGCCUAAUACAUGCAAGUCGAGCGAGCUUGCCUAGAUGAAUUUGGUGCUUGCACCAAAUGAAACUAGAUACAAGCGAGCGGCGGACGGGUGAGUAACACGUGGGUAACCUGCCCAAGAGACUGGGAUAACACCUGGAAACAGAUGCUAAUACCGGAUAACAACACUAGACGCAUGUCUAGAGUUUAAAAGAUGGUUCUGCUAUCACUCUUGGGUGGACCUGCGGUGCAUUAGCUAGUUGGUAAGGUAACGGCUUACCAAGGCAAUGAUGCAUAGCCGAGUUGAGAGACUGAUCGGCCACAUUGGGACUGAGACACGGCCCAAACUCCUACGGGAGGCAGCAGUAGGGAAUCUUCCACAAUGGACGCAAGUCUGAUGGAGCAACGCCGCGUGAGUGAAGAAGGGUUUCGGCACGUAAAGCUCUGUUGGUAGUGAAGAAAGAUAGAGGUAGUAACUGGCCUUUAUUGGACGGAAUACUAGAA